RNAcentral lists this transfer RNA (70 nucleotides) under Camelus bactrianus (Bactrian camel). It matches the Rfam family "tRNA". Rfam says of the family: Transfer RNA (tRNA) molecules are approximately 80 nucleotides in length. Their secondary structure includes four short double-helical elements and three loops (D, anti-codon, and T loops). RNAcentral also lists the same sequence under 2 other names. Lineage: Eukaryota; Metazoa; Chordata; Mammalia; Artiodactyla; Camelidae. The record is from Rfam by way of RNAcentral.
GGGGAUAGCUUAGUGGUAGAGCAUGUGCUUAGCAUGCAUGAGGUCCUGGGUUCGAUCCCUAGUGUCUCCA